UUGGCGGACGGGUGAGUAACGCGUGGAUCAUCUGCCCAAACGUUCGGGAUAACGGCGGGAAGCUGCCGCUAAUACCGGAUACGCUCCAAUUUCGGUUGGAGGAAAGGCGGCCUCUGCUUGCAAGCUGUCGCAUUUGGAUGAGUCCGCGUCCCAUUAGCUUGUUGGUGGGGUAAUGGCCUACCAAGGCAACGAUGAGUAGCUGGUCUGAGAGGAUGAUCAGCCACACUGGGACUGGAACACGGCCCAGACUCCUACGGGAGGCAGCAGUGGGGAAUAUUGCACAAUGGGCGAAAGCCUGAUGCAGCGACGCCGCGUGAGUGAUGAAGGCCUUCGGGUCGUAAAACUCUGUCCUCAAGGAAGAUAAUGACGGUACUUGAGGAGGAAGCCCCGGCUAACUACGUGCCAGCAGCCGCGGUAAUACGA
RNAcentral lists this ribosomal RNA (423 nucleotides) under uncultured bacterium. RNAcentral's name for it is "bacterial SSU rRNA". It matches the Rfam family "Bacterial small subunit ribosomal RNA", at positions 95 to 528 of the family's 1533-position model. The record is from RNAcentral.